This 521-nucleotide ribosomal RNA is filed under the name uncultured Glomeraceae. RNAcentral describes it as "SSU rRNA". It matches the Rfam family "Eukaryotic small subunit ribosomal RNA", at positions 569 to 1092 of the family's 1831-position model. Lineage: Eukaryota; Fungi; Glomeromycota; Glomeromycetes; Glomerales; Glomeraceae. The record is from RNAcentral.
AGCAGCCGCGGUAAUUCCAGCUCCAAUAGCGUAUAUUAAAGUUGUUGCAGUUAAAAAGCUCGUAGUUGAAUUUCGGGAUCAGUUGGUCGGUCGUGCCUCGGUACGUACUGGUCAAAUUGAUUCCUACCUUCUGACGAACCACGAUGUCAUUAAUUUGGUGUCGCGGGAAAUCAGGACUGUUACUUUGAAAAAAUUAGAGUGUUUAAAGCAGGCUCGCGCUUGAAUACAUUAGCAUGGAAUAAUGAAAUAGGACGUUUGAUUCUAUUUUGUUGGUUUCUAGGAUCGACGUAAUGAUUAAUAGGGAUAGUUGGGGGCAUUAGUAUUCAAUUGUCAGAGGUGAAAUUCUUGGAUUUAUUGAAGACUAACUACUGCGAAAGCAUUUGCCGAGGAUGUUUUCAUUAAUCAAGAACGAAAGUUAGGGGAUCGAAGACGAUCAGAUACCGUCGUAGUCUUAACCAUAAACUAUGCCGACUAGGGAUCGGAUGAUGUUAAUUUUCUAAUGACUCAUUCGGCGCCUUACG